AGUGAACGCUGGCGGUAGGCCUAACACAUGCAAGUCGAACGGCAGCACAGGAGAGCUUGCUCUCUGGGUGGCGAGUGGCGGACGGGUGAGGAAUACAUCGGAAUCUACUCUGUCGUGGGGGAUAACGUAGGGAAACUUACGCUAAUACCGCAUACGACCUACGGGUGAAAGCAGGGGACCUUCGGGCCUUGCGCGAUUGAAUGAGCCGAUGUCGGAUUAGCUAGUUGGCGGGGUAAAGGCCCACCAAGGCGACGAUCCGUAGCUGGUCUGAGAGGUUGAUCGGCCCCACUGGAAAUGAGACACGGACCGGCCUCCUAAGGGAGGCAGCAGUGGGGAAUAUUGGAGAAUGGGCGCAAGCCUGGUCCAGCCAUACCGCGUGGGUGAAGAAGGCCUUCGGGUUGUAAAGCCCUUUUGUUGGGAAAGAAAUCCAGCUGGCUAAUACCCGGUUGGGAUGACGGUACCCUAAGAAUAAGCACCGGCUAACUUCGUGCCAGCCGCCGCCGUAA
Molecule: ribosomal RNA, 506 nt
Filed under: uncultured bacterium
Lineage: Bacteria
Description: partial 16S ribosomal RNA
Rfam family: Bacterial small subunit ribosomal RNA
Source: RNAcentral